GACGAACGCUGGCGGCGUGCUUAACACAUGCAAGUCGAACGAUGAACCCGGAGCUUGCUCCGGCGGAUUAGUGGCGAACGGGUGAGCAACACGUGAGUAACCUGCCCUUGACUCUGGGAUAACUGCUAGAAAUGGUAGCUAAUACCGGAUACGACCCUCGGUGGCAUCACCAGGGGGUGGAAAGAAUUUCGGUCAAGGAUGGACUCGCGGCCUAUCAGCUAGUUGGUGAGGUAACGGCACACCAAGGCGACGACGGGUAGCCGGCCUGAGAGGGGGACCGGCCACACUGGGACUGAGACACGGCCCAGACUCCUACGGGAGGCAGCAGUGGGGAAUAUUGCACAAUGGGCGCAAGCCUGAUGCAGCAACGCCGCGUGAGGGAUGACGGCCUUCGGGUUGUAAACCUCUUUUAGUAGGGAAGAAGCGAAAGUGACGGUACCUGCAGAAAAAGCACCGGCUAACUACGUGCCAGCCGCCGCCGUAA
RNAcentral lists this ribosomal RNA (484 nucleotides) under uncultured bacterium. RNAcentral's name for it is "partial 16S ribosomal RNA". It matches the Rfam family "Bacterial small subunit ribosomal RNA", at positions 28 to 523 of the family's 1533-position model. The record is from RNAcentral.